UACGAAGGGGGCUAGCGUUGUUCGGAAUUACUGGGCGUAAAGCGCACGCAGGCGGAUUUAUAAGUCAGGGGUGAAAUCCCGGGGCUCAACCUCGGAACUGCCUUUGAUACUGCUGAUCUCGAGUCCGGAAGAGGUGAGUGGAAUUCCUAGUGUAGAGGUGAAAUUCGUAGAUAUUAGGAAGAACACCAGUGGCGAAGGCGGCUCACUGGUCCGGUACUGACGCUGAGGUGCGAAAGCGUGGGGAGCAAACAGG
This 253-nucleotide ribosomal RNA is filed under the name uncultured bacterium. RNAcentral's name for it is "partial 16S ribosomal RNA". It matches the Rfam family "Bacterial small subunit ribosomal RNA", at positions 524 to 776 of the family's 1533-position model. The record is from RNAcentral.